GGUAAGAUGGCUGAAUGUUUAAGCGGUGGAUUGUAGCUCCAUAAAUAGAGGUUAAAGUCCUUUUCUUAUCA
This 71-nucleotide transfer RNA is filed under the name Xenomystus nigri (African knifefish). RNAcentral's name for it is "tRNA-Tyr". It matches the Rfam family "tRNA". Rfam says of the family: Transfer RNA (tRNA) molecules are approximately 80 nucleotides in length. Their secondary structure includes four short double-helical elements and three loops (D, anti-codon, and T loops). Lineage: Eukaryota; Metazoa; Chordata; Actinopteri; Osteoglossiformes; Notopteridae. The record is from RNAcentral.